GGACCUUUAGCUCAGUUGGUUAGAGCAGACGGCUCAUAACCGUCCGGUCGUAGGUUCGAGUCCUGCAAGGUCCA
RNAcentral lists this transfer RNA (74 nucleotides) under Listeria monocytogenes. RNAcentral's name for it is "tRNA-Ile". It matches the Rfam family "tRNA". Rfam says of the family: Transfer RNA (tRNA) molecules are approximately 80 nucleotides in length. Lineage: Bacteria; Bacillati; Bacillota; Bacilli; Caryophanales; Listeriaceae. The record is from RNAcentral.